Molecule: ribosomal RNA, 489 nt
Filed under: uncultured bacterium
Lineage: Bacteria
Description: partial 16S ribosomal RNA
Rfam family: Bacterial small subunit ribosomal RNA
Source: RNAcentral
UUGCACGCUGGCGGCAGGCCUAACCCAUGCAAGUCGAACGGUAACAGGAAGUAGCUUGCUUCUUUGCUGACGCGUGGCGGACGGGUGAGUAAUGUCUGGGAAACUGCCUGAUGGAGGGGGAUAACUACUGGAAACGGUAGCUAAUACCGCAUAACGUCGCAAGACCAAAGAGGGGGACCUUCGGGCCUCUUGCCAUCGGAUGUGCCCAGAUGGGAUUAGCUAGUAGGUGGGGUAACGGCUCACCUAGGCGACGAUCCCUAGCUGGUCUGAGAGGAUGACCAUCCACACUGGAACUGAGACACGGUCCAGACUCCUACGGGAGGCAGCAGUGGGGAAUAUUGCACAAUGGGCGCAAGCCUGAUGCAGCCAUGCCGCGUGUAUGAAGAAGGCCUUCGGGUUGUAAAGUACUUUCAGCGGGGAGGAAGGGAGUAAAGUUAAUACCUUUGCUCAUUGACGUUACCCGCAGAAGAAGCACGGGCUAACUCCGUG